This 74-nucleotide transfer RNA is filed under the name Plasmodium yoelii yoelii. Its description in RNAcentral is "tRNA-Gly". Lineage: Eukaryota; Apicomplexa; Aconoidasida; Haemosporida; Plasmodiidae. The record is from RNAcentral.
UGCGUCAACCGGGAGUCGAACCCGGGUCACCUGCUUGGAAGGCAGGUAUCAUGGCCGUUAGACUAUUGACGCUA